Molecule: long non-coding RNA, 628 nt
Filed under: Setaria viridis
Lineage: Eukaryota; Viridiplantae; Streptophyta; Magnoliopsida; Poales; Poaceae
Description: long non-coding RNA (SVIR_LNC003952)
Source: RNAcentral
AUUUCUUCACCUAUUCUUGCCACUUUGAGUUUAGCUUUGCUUUGACAUCAACAAUGAAAUCCCAUUUGAAAUCCUCUUCAAAUGCUUAUUCUUGAUUGAUAAAAAAUAUCUCAUGAAUUGCAAGCUUCCAAUAACAAUACCAAGAUGUAACACAUAAGCUCAUAUCUUUUUAUCAUAUGCACAUGAAGUCUUGCAAUAUCCAUUUGUGAAUAUCACUAUUCUUUUCUUAAUGAUCUCUUUACUUGUCAAUCAAGCUAUCACAUGAUUUGGAGACUUAUAGAUCAACCAUAAAGCAUAUCCCCAAGUUUCACUUCACCCUUGCUUGUCAUUAAUCAUACAAUUUCAUCACGGGAUCACAUACUUGUUUGCUUUUCUUUAUUGUGAGCUAUAUAAUACAUAUUCAACUUAUGAGAUAAUAUCACAUGACAAAUAUGAGAGUAAAACUAUGCUCACAAUCUUAAACAAGUUAGUCCUUUAAUCAUUUUGUCAUUCAAUUCACCAAAACACACUUAGGGGCCUAGAUGCACUUUCAAUCGUCCCUUUUUGGUGAUUGAUGACACCCCGAUUAAAUCUUACAAAUAUAUCAAUAAAGUGUUUUUAGAUUCUCAGAUAUAUUAUAAGCUCCCCC